AUUUAAAAGCACAGAAUCAAGAAGAUCAGAAAACAGUUUAAGACUUGGUAGCUUCAAAAAACUAUCACGUUUACAUUGUUAUUAUUCUUUGCUUAAUGGCACACCUCUGUCCUGUGACAGAAUUUUCCCCAGAUGAGGAGGAGCCAGAGACCUUUUGGGAGGGGAUGUUUGUGGUUCCACAGUGAAAGCAAGUUGCUCUUCCUGUGAUUUCUGAAGAAGGAAAAAGCCCUUAUGUUUGGUGGAGAAUGUACAAAUGUAUCGGGAUACAGAUCCACUUCUUGUAAUAUAGUGCAUUCUAACAAUUCCAAAGAAAGGAAACUGGGUAUUUUGUCUCAGCAAGGAGAGAAGAGUAACCAACACAAACAGUGAAUGAAAAGAAAAAGACUCUUUCAUCCCCUAUAUCCUAUGAUGUAAUUUCCAUGGUGAUAUUUCCUCUCAUCUGUAAAAAGAACUCCAUUUCAUCAUAACAUUAUUUGCUUUCUGCUUGAACUUUCUCUAUGCAGAUGGUACAGUGUUCUGCUGAGGAGUCAGACCACUGCCCAUAUAAGAGUGUGGACUGUUUCCAUUUUAACACCAACACCUCUCUCUGAUGAUUUCUGCCACAUGCCUAUCAUCAGGAGAUAAUGUGCAGCUGACCCUAAGAUCUUGAUCUAGGUCCAUUUGACCCAGCCUGUGGGGUCUGUGACCUCCACUUAAAAAGAAAAGUUAGACAGUAGACAUUGUGAUUAGUUAACUGUCAGCUGUCCCAAGUUCUAUAAUUUCUUGUUCCUUUGUGUCUGCAGUGAAAAGGAAAAAAAAGGAACUGUGAUUUUCACUACUUUAUUGUAAGCUGUAUUGAUGGUGGCAGUGGCGGUGUCUGGAAUGAAUCAUGUUCUGGAGAUGUUCAAGCUCUAUUUGCUGUCUUCUGAGUUCAGCAAUUGCCUUUGCCUUUUA
RNAcentral lists this long non-coding RNA (933 nucleotides) under Cavia porcellus (domestic guinea pig). RNAcentral's name for it is "lncRNA (ENSCPOG00000035647.1)". Lineage: Eukaryota; Metazoa; Chordata; Mammalia; Rodentia; Caviidae. The record is from RNAcentral.